AUUAUGGCUCAGGAUGAACGCUGGCGGCAGGCCUAAUACAUGCAAGUCGAGCGAGAAUCAGUGAUGUAGAGAUUCGUCAAAGCGGAUCUGAGGAAAGCGGCGGACGGGUGAGUAACGCGUAGGCAACCUGCCCUUAGCAGAGGGAUAGCCAUUGGAAACGAUGAUUAAAACCUCAUAAUGCUGUUUUUUACACAUGUAGAGACAGCCAAAGAUUUAUCGGCUAAGGAUGGGCCUGCGUCUGAUUAACUAGUUGGUGAGGUAACGGCCCACCAAGGUGACGAUCAGUAGCCGACCUGAGAGGGUGAUCGGCCACAUUGGAACUGAGACACGGUCCAAACUUCUACGGAAGGCAGCAGUAAGGAAUCUUGCACAAUGGGGGAAACCCUGAUGCAGCAACGCCGCGUGAACGAUGAAGGCCUUAGGGUUGUAAAGUUCUGAUCUGUGGGAAGAAGAAGUGACGGUACCACAGGAGAAAGCCCCGGCUAAAUACGUGCCAGCCGCGGC
RNAcentral lists this ribosomal RNA (504 nucleotides) under uncultured bacterium. RNAcentral describes it as "bacterial SSU rRNA". It matches the Rfam family "Bacterial small subunit ribosomal RNA", at positions 16 to 518 of the family's 1533-position model. The record is from RNAcentral.